CCUACGGGAGGCAGCAGUAGGGAAUAUUGCUCAAUGGGGGAAACCCUGAAGCAGCAACGCCGCGUGGAGGAUGAAGGUUUUCGGAUUGUAAACUCCUUUUGUUAGAGAAGAUAAUGACGGUAUCUAACGAAUAAGCACCGGCUAACUCCGUGCCAGCAGCCGCGGUAAUACGGAAGGUGCACGCGUUACUCGGAAUCACUGGGGGUAAAGAGCGAGUAGGCGGGAUAGCAAGGUCGGUGUGAAAACCUAUGGCUUAAACAUAGAACUGCAGUUGAAACUGUUAUUCUAGAGUAUGGGAGAGGUAGGUGGAAUGCUUGGUGUAGGUGUAAAAUCCAUAGAGAUCA
This 344-nucleotide ribosomal RNA is filed under the name uncultured bacterium. Its description in RNAcentral is "partial 16S ribosomal RNA". It matches the Rfam family "Bacterial small subunit ribosomal RNA", at positions 338 to 699 of the family's 1533-position model. The record is from RNAcentral.